UACGUAGGUGGCAAGCGUUGUUCGGAUUUACUGGGCGUAAAGAGCGCGCAGGCGGUUGGAUAAGUCGAAUGUGAAAGCCCCCGGCUUAACUGGGGAGGGUCAUUCGAUACUGUCCAACUUGAAGGCAGGAGAGGGCAGCAGAAUUCCCGGAGUAGUGGUGAAAUGCGUAGAUAUCGGGAGGAAUACCAGUGGCGAAGGCGGCUGCCUGGCCUGAUCUUGACGCUGAGGCGCGAAAGCUGGGGGAGCAAACGGG
This 253-nucleotide ribosomal RNA is filed under the name uncultured bacterium. RNAcentral's name for it is "partial 16S ribosomal RNA". It matches the Rfam family "Bacterial small subunit ribosomal RNA", at positions 524 to 776 of the family's 1533-position model. The record is from RNAcentral.